CUACGGGUUGCACCAGUGGGGAAUAUUGCACAAUGGGCGCAAGCCUGAUGCAGCCAUGCCGCGUGUAUGAAGAAGGCCUUCGGGUUGUAAAGUACUUUCAGCGGGGAGGAAGGGAGUAAAGUUAAUACCUUUGCUCAUUGACGUUACCCGCAGAAGAAGCACCGGCUAACUCCGUGCCAGCAGCCGCGGUAAUACGGAGGGUGCAAGCGUUAAUCGUAAUUACUGGGCGUAAAGCGCACGCAGGCGGUUUGUUAAGUCAGAUGUGAAAUCCCCGGGCUCAACCUGGGAACUGCAUCUGAUACUGGCAAGCUUGAGUCUCGUAGAGGGGGGUAGAGUUCCAGGUGUAGCGGUGAAAUGCGUAGAGAUCUGGAGGAAUACCGGUGGCGAAGGCGGCCCCCUGGACGAAGACUGACGCUCAGGUGCGAAAGCGUGGGGAGCAAACAGGAUUAGAUACCCUCGUAGUC
This 464-nucleotide ribosomal RNA is filed under the name uncultured bacterium. RNAcentral's name for it is "partial 16S ribosomal RNA". It matches the Rfam family "Bacterial small subunit ribosomal RNA", at positions 339 to 795 of the family's 1533-position model. The record is from RNAcentral.